AGUGAACGCUGGCGGUAGGCCUAACACAUGCAAGUCGAACGGCAGCACAGGAGAGCUUGCUCUCUGGGUGGCGAGUGGCGGACGGGUGAGGAAUACAUCGGAAUCUACUCUGUCGUGGGGGAUAACGUAGGGAAACUUACGCUAAUACCGCAUACGACCUAGGGGUGAAAGCAGGGGACCUUCGGGCCUUGCGCGAUUGAAUGAGCCGAUGUCGGAUUAGCUAGUUGGGGGGGUAAAGGCCCACCAAGGCGACGAUCCGUAGCUGGGCUGAGAGGAUGGGCAGCCACACUGGAACUGAGACACGGUCCAGACUCCUACGGGAGGCAGCAGUGGGGAAUAUUGGACAAUGGGCGCAAGCCUGAUCCAGCCAUACCGCGUGGGUGAAGAAGGCCUUCGGGUUGUAAAGCCCUUUUGUUGGGAAAGAAAUCCAGCUGGCUAAUACCCGGUUGGGAUGACGGUACCCAAAGAAUAAGCACCGGCUAACUUCGUGCCAGCCGCCGCCGUAA
Molecule: ribosomal RNA, 506 nt
Filed under: uncultured bacterium
Lineage: Bacteria
Description: partial 16S ribosomal RNA
Rfam family: Bacterial small subunit ribosomal RNA
Source: RNAcentral